RNAcentral lists this transfer RNA (74 nucleotides) under Pseudonocardiales bacterium. RNAcentral's name for it is "tRNA-Leu". It matches the Rfam family "tRNA". Rfam says of the family: Transfer RNA (tRNA) molecules are approximately 80 nucleotides in length. Their secondary structure includes four short double-helical elements and three loops (D, anti-codon, and T loops). RNAcentral also lists the same sequence under 2 other names. The record is from RNAcentral. Lineage: Bacteria; Bacillati; Actinomycetota; Actinomycetes; Pseudonocardiales.
GCCCCGGUAGACCAACAGGCAGAGUCCAUGGUCUCAAAAACCAUGCAGUGUGGGUUCGAAUCCCACCCGGGGCA